Molecule: ribosomal RNA, 253 nt
Filed under: uncultured bacterium
Lineage: Bacteria
Description: partial 16S ribosomal RNA
Rfam family: Bacterial small subunit ribosomal RNA
Source: RNAcentral
UACAGAGGUCUCAAGCGUUGUUCGGAUUCAUUGGGCGUAAAGGGUGCGUAGGCGGCGCGGUAAGUCGGGUGUGAAAUCUUGGAGCUUAACUCCGAAACUGCAUUCGAUACUGCCGUGCUUGAGGACUGGAGAGGAGACUGGAAUUUACGGUGUAGCAGUGAAAUGCGUAGAUAUCGUAAGGAAGACCAGUGGCGAAGGCGAAUCUCUGGACAGUUACUGACACUGAGGCACGAAGGCCAGGGGAGCAAACGGG